ACUGAUUCGUGGAGGGAACAUAGCACUCCAACGAGGCUAGGCUGCCUUCUGCGUUGCGGCCUCCCACAGCGUAAAGGAGCCCGUUGAACACACUCAGGCUGAAGGUCUCUAUACAAAAUGUCUCUACUAAGGGACUUCUCUGUAAGACCUGGGCGUCCUCCAACCGUGGCAAGGACUCGGCAGCCCCCUCGGAUUCUUGUUCGCCUAGACUGCAAUGUGUUUUGAUGAUAUGGAAUGAUGUGCUGGGACUAUGGAGGAAAAGGAUCCAGAGACUUCCUAAUGAAGGAAUGAUUGUGGACUCUGGGAGCAACAACAUCUGAUUUCUAGUUUUAAAUCUUCCUUUUCUACCCUGUUCCUCUUUAUGUCAUCCUUAAAUGAUGUAUCUCCAAGUAUCCUUAAUAAAAUUUUAUGAAUUA
Molecule: non-coding RNA, 416 nt
Organism: Ictidomys tridecemlineatus (thirteen-lined ground squirrel)
Lineage: Eukaryota; Metazoa; Chordata; Mammalia; Rodentia; Sciuridae
Source: RefSeq, a predicted model, not a curated record